Molecule: ribosomal RNA, 516 nt
Filed under: Torulaspora globosa
Lineage: Eukaryota; Fungi; Ascomycota; Saccharomycetes; Saccharomycetales; Saccharomycetaceae
Also listed under: 1 other name
Description: LSU rRNA
Rfam family: Eukaryotic large subunit ribosomal RNA
Source: RNAcentral
AAACCAACCGGGAUUGCCUCAGUAACGGCGAGUGAAGCGGCAAAAGCUCAAAUUUGAAAUCUGGUACCUUCGGUGCCCGAGUUGUAAUUUGUAGAAGGUAACUUUGGGGCUGGUCCUUGUCUAUGUUCCUUGGAACAGGACGUCAUAGAGGGUGAGAAUCCCGUGUGGCGAGGAUCCCAGUUCUAUGUAAAGUGCUUUCGAAGAGUCGAGUUGUUUGGGAAUGCAGCUCUAAGUGGGUGGUAAAUUCCAUCUAAAGCUAAAUAUUGGCGAGAGACCGAUAGCGAACAAGUACAGUGAUGGAAAGAUGAAAAGAACUUUGAAAAGAGAGUGAAAAAGUACGUGAAAUUGUUGAAAGGGAAGGGCAUUUGAUCAGACAUGGUGUUUUGCGCCCUCUGCUCCUCGUGGGUGGGGGAAUCUCGCAGCUCACUGGGCCAGCAUCAGUUUUGGCGGUAGGAUAAAUCUGCAGGAAUGUAGCUUGCUUCGGCAAGUGUUAUAGCCUGUUGAAAUACCCCCCGC